Molecule: long non-coding RNA, 1985 nt
Organism: Phragmites australis (common reed)
Lineage: Eukaryota; Viridiplantae; Streptophyta; Magnoliopsida; Poales; Poaceae
Exons: 3
Source: RefSeq, a predicted model, not a curated record
GCGGAGGAGGGGAUCGGGAGGCUCGCGGCGACGAUGGGGAAGCCGAGCGAAGGGAGAAGAGAUCUGAGAGAGACAGGGGCGUAAUUGGAUGAGAGCGAGACGAGUGGCCGAGUCCUCACGGGUGUGGGGCCCACGUUACAUGGCCACGUGGAGGAGUCGUGCCCCGCUGCGUCCGCGCCUGAGCGCCAUCCAUCCGGCCGCGCGAAUCUUGAAGCGAUUUUUAUUCUAUUUUAUUCUAUAAUUUGUUUUGUUUGGGGGCCUAGGAGUCGGUUAGCUUCUUCUCCCUCCCCUGCCUCCUCGCCGUGAAGCGCCGCCGAAGCCGGCGGUGAGGGUCGGGACGUGAGGAAGUCGACGAACUGUCGCCGGAUACAAUUCUCGUGGCCACCGGCGAGAUUGCCAUGAUGUGAGAUGGAAUCACCGAGGAAACCUCGAGAGGAAGAAGAGGAACUCUGAUUCGAUUCAUUUCGUUGAUCCCCUUCUCGAUGCUCCUGGCCUCUCCUUUGUAGCCGAGCCAAUCAAAUUGGGAUUUACGGGAUGUCGAAGCUGUCACAGCCAAGGCCGAAUUUUACAGCUCUAAGUCGAAGGGAUAGAUCGAUCAACCCGCAGCGAGGCGCUGGCCGGGGACCGACGUCUCUGGUACCAUCUGUCACACCGCCGGUGGCUACGGGGUGUGACAGUGGCAGCCUGCGGUGGGGAGUUCGUCGGCGAACCUUCGACGCGGGCUUGCUCGUGAGGAGGGCCUCUCCACGUUCCCUCAGCUGCAAGGUGCCGCCGCUGUUCCGGUCAGGCUGCCACCUUGGAUUGAGUUCGGUAGAAAUCGUGCAAUGGUUUUGGUCCUGAUUGAGGUGGCAUGAAAUUCGGUUGAAAACAUGGUCUGCGUCCAGGUAUUCGUGUAACAGAAUUUGACAAAACUUGAUACUAUGAUUUUAACAAAUACGACAUUAUGCAUGACUGCUUUUCUAUGGCAGCUUAAAUAAUCACAGCCCAACAUCCGUAAACUGACCAUUACUACAUACUCUGCAAUCUUAAUUUCAAGUGUUGCGUGCAUGAAUUGGUACUGCACAGUACACACAAAGUUUCCACAGGGCAUUUAAGAUUUAAGGAAAGUGACAAAAAAGAAAAAUGCUAAAGAAGAUGAUGAAUUAUGGAUUUGAUUAUAGGUUUGUUCACAAUCACAACUUACAAGUUCAUUUGUUUCGGGUAACUCACAAGUUCAUUGUGCCUUGUGUUCAAGUCCAACACAAAAUCCGGUCUUUUCGUGUCAGUUUUAUCACUUAGACGUGUACCCUUGUUACAGUGCCAACACAAACGCUUUACCACUAGAGUUCUUCCUCAAAAUUCAGAUUUUUUUUGCACUGAAACAUGUGAACUCUAUGUGUUAUUAGAAACUCAGUUGCUUGGGACCUCCACAAUGCUGGACAGAAGGCUCCUUAGCUCCACCAUGACAACAUCCUGCUCACCCUUCACCUACACAUAGAAACAAGAACAAAUUUAACCACUGGAAUACUCGCAAUGACAGAUUCAACAGAUAGGUAAAAGCCGCAAUGUUCUGCAGCAGUCAAGUUUCUUGAGAAUCAGUUUACCUCAAUGGAGAAGACGCUCUCUGCAUAACCGUAGAAUGUAAUCGUGCUCAGGCUGGUGACUUGCGCAUUGUAGCUGCAGAGUGCUUCCAGUACCUUGGUGAAGACGCCGGCCUUCUUGCAGAAGAUCUUGAGGUGGUACUUGUAUGGCCCCAGAGGAACCAACUCCACCUGACCCUGUAGACAUAUAUAAUAUAGUGAGUCUGUGAGGAGUCAGCACUCAGUAGUAUACUACAGCUGAACUUUCUGGUGAAAAUGGCGAUGAACAGUGGGGGCGAAGGAUUCGGAACACGACGCGCUGCCCUGCUUCUCCCAGGCCUCGCCGGGCGAGUCGGCGAGCUGGCGCUGCAGCUCAAGGACCUGGUUCUGGAGCUUCUUGAUGUGGUCGAUCGCGUCCGACAGGGU